UAGAUUUUAAGUUAUAUAAACUAAAAACCUUCAAAGUUUUAAAAAAGAGCAAUCUUAAAUCUAA
Molecule: transfer RNA, 64 nt
Filed under: Grandidierella fasciata
Lineage: Eukaryota; Metazoa; Arthropoda; Malacostraca; Amphipoda; Corophiidae
Description: tRNA-Trp
Source: RNAcentral